This 643-nucleotide ribosomal RNA is filed under the name uncultured Actinomycetes bacterium. RNAcentral's name for it is "bacterial SSU rRNA". It matches the Rfam family "Bacterial small subunit ribosomal RNA", at positions 232 to 885 of the family's 1533-position model. The record is from RNAcentral. Lineage: Bacteria; Bacillati; Actinomycetota; Actinomycetes.
CGCGGCCUAUCAGCUUGUUGGUGAGGUAACGGCUCACCAAGGCGACGACGGGUAGCCGGCCUGAGAGGGCGACCGGCCACACUGGGACUGAGACACGGCCCAGACUCCUACGGGAGGCAGCAGUGGGGAAUAUUGCACAAUGGGCGAAAGCCUGAUGCAGCGACGCCGCGUGAGGGAUGACGGCCUUCGGGUUGUAAACCUCUUUCAGCAGGGAAGAAGCGAAAGUGACGGUACCUGCAGAAGAAGCGCCGGCUAACUACGUGCCAGCAGCCGCGGUAAUACGUAGGGCGCAAGCGUUGUCCGGAAUUAUUGGGCGUAAAGAGCUCGUAGGCGGCUUGUCACGUCGGGUGUGAAAGCCCGGGGCUUAACCCCGGGUCUGCAUCCGAUACGGGCAGGCUAGAGUGUGGUAGGGGAGAUCGGAAUUCCUGGUGUAGCGGUGAAAUGCGCAGAUAUCAGGAGGAACACCGGUGGCGAAGGCGGAUCUCUGGGCCAUUACUGACGCUGAGGAGCGAAAGCGUGGGGAGCGAACAGGAUUAGAUACCCUGGUAGUCCACGCCGUAAACGUUGGGAACUAGGUGUUGGCGACAUUCCACGUCGUCGGUGCCGCAGCUAACGCAUUGAGUUCCCCGCCUGGGGAGUACGG